GAUGAAGAACGUAGCGAAAUGCAAUAAGUAAUGUGAAUUGCAGAAUUCAGUGAAUCAUCGAGUUUUUGAACGCAUAUUGCGCCCUCUGGUAUUCCGGGGGGCAUGCCUGUUCGAGCGUCAUUAAAUAACCCUCAAGCAUAGCUUGGUGUUGGGCUUUUUUACGUCCUUGACUGGGAUGGGCCUAAAAAUUAGUGGCGAUGGCUUUUUUACUUUCAAGCGUAGUAAAUCUCGUCUUGCUAAAGAGGAAAAAGAUUUUUUUUCUGCCAAAAAUUUUAACAUUUAAAGUUGACCUCGGAUCAGGUAGGAUUACCCGCUGAACUUAAGCAUAUCAAUAAGCGGAGGA
RNAcentral lists this unclassified non-coding RNA (343 nucleotides) under soil metagenome. RNAcentral describes it as "partial contains 5.8S ribosomal RNA, internal transcribed spacer 2, and large subunit ribosomal RNA". The stretch from base 1 to 120 matches the Rfam family "5.8S ribosomal RNA", at positions 35 to 154 of the family's 154-position model. The record is from RNAcentral.